GGAUAAGUUAGAAAGGGCGCACGGUGAAUGCCUUGGCACUAGGAGCCAAUGA
RNAcentral lists this ribosomal RNA (52 nucleotides) under Shouchella clausii. RNAcentral's name for it is "Bacillus clausii partial 23S ribosomal RNA". The record is from RNAcentral. Lineage: Bacteria; Bacillati; Bacillota; Bacilli; Caryophanales; Bacillaceae.